RNAcentral lists this ribosomal RNA (481 nucleotides) under uncultured bacterium. RNAcentral describes it as "partial 16S ribosomal RNA". It matches the Rfam family "Bacterial small subunit ribosomal RNA", at positions 28 to 507 of the family's 1533-position model. The record is from RNAcentral.
GAUGAACGCUGGCGGCGUGCCUAACACAUGCCAGUCGAACGGAGAUUACGGACGGAAGUUUUCGGAUGGAAGCCUGUAAUUCUUAGUGGCGGACGGGUGAGUAACGCGUGGGCAACCUGCCCUAUACAGGGGGAUAGCAGCUGGAAACGGCUGGUAAGACCGCAUAAGUCGGUUAAAUCGCAUGAUUUGAUCGGGAAAUGAGCAAUCAGGUAUAGGAUGGGCCCGCGUCCGAUUAGCCAGUUGGCAGGGUAAAAGCCUACCAAAGCGACGAUCGGUAGCCGGACUGAGAGGUCGGACGGCCACAUUGGGACUGAGACACGGCCCAAACUCCUACGGGAGGCAGCAGUGGGGGAUAUUGCACAAUGGAGGAAACUCUGAUGCAGCGACGCCGCGUGAGUGAAGAAGUAUUUCGGUAUGUAAAGCUCUAUCAGUAGGGAAGAUGAUGACGGUACCUGACUAAGAAGCCCCGGCUAACUACGUG